CGUAGGUGGCGAGCGUUGUCCGGAAUGACUGGGCGUAAAGGACGUGUAGGCGGUCCUGUAAGUCUGGGGUGAAACCGGCGGCUCAACCGCCGGCCUGCCCUGGAAACUGCGGGGCUAGAGUGGGCUAGAGGGCAGCGGAAUUCCCGGUGUAGCGGUGAAAUGCGUAGAGAUCGGGAGGAACACCAGUGGCGAAGGCGGCUGCCUGGGGCCUAACUGACGCUGAGGCGCGAAAACUGGGGGAGCAAACAGGAUU
This 253-nucleotide ribosomal RNA is filed under the name uncultured bacterium. RNAcentral's name for it is "partial 16S ribosomal RNA". It matches the Rfam family "Bacterial small subunit ribosomal RNA", at positions 526 to 779 of the family's 1533-position model. The record is from RNAcentral.